AACGAACGCUGGCGGCAUGCCUAACACAUGCAAGUCGAACGAGACCUUCGGGUCUAGUGGCGCACGGGUGCGUAACGCGUGGGAACCUGCCUUUAGGUUCGGAAUAACUCAGAGAAAUUUGAGCUAAUACCGGAUGAUGUCUUCGGACCAAAGAUUUAUCGCCUUUAGAUGGGCCCGCGUUGGAUUAGCUAGUUGGUGGGGUAAAGGCCUACCACGGCGACGAUCCAUAGCUGGUCUGAGAGGAUGAGCAGCCACACUGGGACUGAGACACGGCCCAGACUCCUACGGGAGGCAGCAGUGGGGAAUAUUGGAAAAUGGGCGAAAGCCUGAUCCAGCAAUGCCGCGUGAGUGAUGAAGGCCUUAGGGUUGUAAAGCUCUUUUACCCGAGAUGAUAAUGACAGUACCGGGAGAAUAAGCUCCGGCUAACUCCGUG
This 433-nucleotide ribosomal RNA is filed under the name uncultured bacterium. Its description in RNAcentral is "partial 16S ribosomal RNA". It matches the Rfam family "Bacterial small subunit ribosomal RNA", at positions 29 to 507 of the family's 1533-position model. The record is from RNAcentral.